RNAcentral lists this ribosomal RNA (1438 nucleotides) under uncultured organism. Its description in RNAcentral is "SSU rRNA". It matches the Rfam family "Bacterial small subunit ribosomal RNA". The record is from RNAcentral.
GAACGCUAGCUACAGGCUUAACACAUGCAAGUCGAGGGGCAGCAUGGUCUUAGCUUGCUAAGGCCGAUGGCGACCGGCGCACGGGUGAGUAACACGUAUUCAACCUGCCGUCUACUCUUGGACAGCCUUCUGAAAGGAAGAUUAAUACAAGAUGGCAUCAUGAGUCCGCAUGUUCACAUGAUUAAAGGUAUUCCGGUAGACGAUGGGGAUGCGUUCCAUUAGAUAGUAGGCGGGGUAACGGCCCACCUAGUCUUCGAUGGAUAGGGGUUCUGAGAGGAAGGUCCCCCACAUUGGAACUGAGACACGGUCCAAACUCCUACGGGAGGCAGCAGUGAGGAAUAUUGGUCAAUGGGCGAGAGCCUGAACCAGCCAAGUAGCGUGAAGGAUGACUGCCCUAUGGGUUGUAAACUUCUUUUAUAAAGGAAUAAAGUCGGGUAUGCAUACCCGUUUGCAUGUACUUUAUGAAUAAGGAUCGGCUAACUCCGUGCCAGCAGCCGCGGUAAUACGGAGGAUCCGAGCGUUAUCCGGAUUUAUUGGGUUUAAAGGGAGCGUAGAUGGAUGUUUAAGUCAGUUGUGAAAGUUUGCGGCUCAACCGUAAAAUUGCAGUUGAUACUGGAUAUCUUGAGUGCAGUUGAGGCAGGCGGAAUUCGUGGUGUAGCGGUGAAAUGCUUAGAUAUCACGAAGAACUCCGAUUGCGAAGGCAGCCUGCUAAGCUGCAACUGACAUUGAGGCUCGAAAGUGUGGGUAUCAAACAGGAUUAGAUACCCUGGUAGUCCACACGGUAAACGAUGAAUACUCGCUGUUUGCGAUAUACAGCAAGCGGCCAAGCGAAAGCGUUAAGUAUUCCACCUGGGGAGUACGCCGGCAACGGUGAAACUCAAAGGAAUUGACGGGGGCCCGCACAAGCGGAGGAACAUGUGGUUUAAUUCGAUGAUACGCGAGGAACCUUACCCGGGCUUAAAUUGCAGAUGAAUUACGGUGAAAGCCGUAAGCCGCAAGGCAUCUGUGAAGGUGCUGCAUGGUUGUCGUCAGCUCGUGCCGUGAGGUGUCGGCUUAAGUGCCAUAACGAGCGCAACCCUUGUUGUCAGUUACUAACAGGUUCCGCUGAGGACUCUGACAAGACUGCCAUCGUAAGAUGUGAGGAAGGUGGGGAUGACGUCAAAUCAGCACGGCCCUUACGUCCGGGGCUACACACGUGUUACAAUGGGGGGUACAGAGGGCCGCUACCACGCGAGUGGAUGCCAAUCCCAAAAACCUCUCUCAGUUCGGACUGGAGUCUGCAACCCGACUCCACGAAGCUGGAUUCGCUAGUAAUCGCGCAUCAGCCACGGCGCGGUGAAUACGUUCCCGGGCCUUGUACACACCGCCCGUCAAGCCAUGGGAGCCGGGGGUACCUGAAGUGCGUAACCGCGAGGAGCGCCCUAGGGUAAAACUGGUA